Molecule: ribosomal RNA, 119 nt
Organism: Lepisosteus oculatus (spotted gar)
Lineage: Eukaryota; Metazoa; Chordata; Actinopteri; Semionotiformes; Lepisosteidae
Source: Ensembl
ACCAGUAGCCAUAUCACCCUGCAACUCACAACUGGCAACCCACUGAAGCUAAGCAGGUGUGAGCCUGGUCAGUACCUAGAAGGGAGACCUCCUGAGAAAAACUAAGGUUGCUGUUGGAA